RNAcentral lists this long non-coding RNA (782 nucleotides) under Arachis ipaensis. RNAcentral describes it as "long non-coding RNA (AIPA_LNC001747)". The record is from RNAcentral. Lineage: Eukaryota; Viridiplantae; Streptophyta; Magnoliopsida; Fabales; Fabaceae.
CUAGACAUUAGGAUAAGAUCGAAUAGUAAGUUAUGACUAAGUAGUGACUAAGCACAUUAAUUACCAUCUUAUCUACUCUUGUUCUCUUUAAUGAAGUAUUUCUUUCCACCACUUCAUUAAUUACUCUUCACACUACACUAAGCAUAUUUAGCAAGUGAAAAAGAAAAGAAAUUAGAGAGAAAGAGAAAAGGAGAAGCCAAAGCUUUGGGAGAAAAAAAGAGUAAACAUUUGUGUUGAUUCCAUACACUUUCUCUACACUAAUUCAAGGAGCAUUUCAUCACUAUUUCAAGAAUCAAGAUUCCUAGUUUAAUUCUCCACUUUUCUCUCCUUUCUUUUCGGUUUUGAAGAGCCUUUAUGAGAGGUCAUCUUGUUCUCUUCUUGAUUUGGAUAAUCAUCCCUAAGAACCUCAAGGAGCAUGGUUGGAGGCUAGCAUUUCAAGGGCUAAAAGAAGUUGCAUCUCGAUUCCUCUAUUGCUCCUAAAUCUCGGCUAUAAGCCUUAUGUUUCCAUUAAUUGUGUAGUUGUCUUUAUUUGGGAAAUCUAGUAUUUCUAACGUACUCUAGAGUGAACAACAAGGAUAAAGUAAGGGUGAUAAUGUUUGUUUGAUCUCUAUUCCUAAUUUUUGAUGUGUGAAUGCCCUCUUUGAAAGCGAAUAAUGCAAGAGUUAUAUGUAUGAUAAUUUUAUGAUGAAAUGCAUUCUUGAAUUGUGAAUGAAUGCCAAUUGUGAACAUAAGGGCUAUGCCCAAAUGUAUAAAUUUGGCCGAACAUUGAAAUGCACUUGGGG